ACUUCCGCGUUUCUGGCGCGUGGUCUUGCAUUUCCUACUUGGUCCUGUUCGUGGCGCCGCGCCUCCGGGUGUUGGGGAGUCCGGGAUGAUGGGGAAUCCGGGGCUCGCCCUAGUCGCGGGGACACCGCCUUCCAGGAGCUGUCCCCAGGCAAACUCACAGACAUCUUCAAAGAGCCUUCUUGGACAUUCUGCUUUUUGCUCCUCAUAACAGGCUUCGAUGGAGUUUCUCUCUUAUUUUCCAGGCUGCAGUACAGUGGCGUGAUCUCGGCUCACUGCAACCUCCACCUCCCAGGUUCAAGCGAUUCUCCUGUCUUAGCCUCACGAGUAGCCGGGAUUACAGGCACAUGCCCCCAUUCCCAGCUAAUUUUUGUAUUUUUAGUAGUGACGGGGUUUCAUCAUAUUGGUCAGGCUGGUCUCAAACUCCUGACCUCAGGUGAUCCGCCUCGGCCUCCCAAAGUGUUGGGAUUACAGGCGUGAGCCACCCACUGUAUCUCUUGUUCGGAGGAAUAUCUAAUCAAGAAAAUCAUUUUUACUGUUUUUAUUUUUUGGUUUGUUCGUUUUUUUCCUGUGAGAUGGAGUUUCACUCUUGUUGCCCAUCCUGGUGUACAAUGGCGCGAUCUCGGCUCACUUCAACCUCCGCCUCCCAGUGCGUCCGGAAUUGGUGGGUUCUUGGUCUCACUGACUUCAAGAAUGAAGCUGCGCACCCUCACGCAUCUCACUCCCACUGCCUAGGCUGGAGUGCAGUGGCACAAUCUCUGCUCACUACAGCCUCAACCUCCAGGAUUCAAGUGAUCUGCCCAUCUCAGCACCACCCGCAGCCCCCAAGUAGCUGGGACUACGCAACUCGCUGCCAAGCCACCAAACAAUUUGUGUUUUUUCUAGAGAUGGGGUUUUGUCAUGUUUGCCAGGCUCAUUCUUACUGUUGAACUGAAUAAUUGAUUUUACCUAGUAAUGAUAUUUUUUAGUUCAUGAACAUAACCAGAUUCACACAAACACACUAUUUUUCUAUAGCAAUCUGUAGGAAUCACAUGCAGAAGAAAAAUCCUUUUCUCCAUAAUAAAACAAGUGAAAGUCAAAGUCUAAUUUGAAAUGUUUUCAAUAAUAAA
This is a long non-coding RNA of Homo sapiens (human), 1106 nucleotides long. Ensembl annotates it as ATP8B1 antisense RNA 1. Its record names the gene ATP8B1-AS1. The record is from Ensembl. NCBI's taxonomy places the organism in Eukaryota, Metazoa, Chordata, Mammalia, Primates, Hominidae.